This 1536-nucleotide long non-coding RNA is filed under the name Chinchilla lanigera (long-tailed chinchilla). RNAcentral's name for it is "lncRNA (ENSCLAG00000023727.1)". The record is from RNAcentral. Lineage: Eukaryota; Metazoa; Chordata; Mammalia; Rodentia; Chinchillidae.
UUGAUAGACACAGAUUGAUUACACAACUUGGAGGACACAAUCCAUAUACGCAGAUGGUGAUCCAUGCUGUGAAUGAAAUGGGAAGAGUAACAUGGUGGAAAAGGAUCCUGACAUUGCUUGGGGCGUCCUCUCAAAGGAAAUAGCAUAUGAGCUGAGACUGGAAGACAAGGAGGAUCCACCAAUGGACAGGUCUGGAACAGAGCGUUUCAUGUUAGGGGAACACUGAUUUCCUCUGUGAAGAAGGCUCCCCUUGCUUGCUGAGGACCGAAGUUUGCUUUGCUGAAGCUAAGAAUAGCAGUAAGUAUUUGAAAUACACAGGACUCGCUUACUUAUCACAUAAGUAAAAGGAGUAGUAAACAACAAAAAAAUAUCCUACAACUCAUAUCAAGCAGAGUGCGUGUUGUUAAUACCCAGGAUUUGGGCCAACUCAGCCGCACAGGCUCCUUCAUCUCAGAACACGUGGUGCUGCAGGUCCUCUGGCUCUUCGUUUUCAGCCUGUCCCUGAAGUCCACGCAGUGGGGCUGACUUUGAUCUCCAGGUUGUGUGGUGUGUACGUCACCAAUAAGUUAUGCUGCUCGUGUCUUCUCCAGGUUUCACACACAUCAUCUAUCUACUCAUUUAAGAUACACUUUUAAGCAUCUAUUAUGAGCCUGAAGUGUGCUACAUUUGUGAGGUACCGGUUUCCUCAUCACCGUGGGCAAGGCAGAGGCAAGAUUGACACCUGCUGACAAUUACCUCUGUUAUUUUUGGGGCUUUCUCUUCGGUUUGGUUUGGUUUGGUUUUAGUGGUACUGAGUAUUCAACCUAGGACCUUUGCAAUGAGCUACAUUCCCAGUUCUAUUUUUGUUUCUAGUUUUGAUUUGGAGACAGAGUCUUGCUAAGUUACCUAGACUGGACUUGAACUGAUUCUCCUGUUCCAGCCUCCCAGUAUGCUAGCGUUACAGGUAUGCCGCACACAGUAGCAACACGGGAGGUCUGGGGAGCACAAAGGAGAGAAAGAAGGACCGCUGCCAGGUAUUUCCACCAUCUUUUCCUCUUUUCCUUGCCUUUGGAGAGCUACAGUCCAGCAUCGUCGCUGCUUAUCUGGCCAACGCCUGUCUGCACAGCAAAGUAGAAGUCGUCUUCAUUCUACCUUCCCUGUCUGGGACAGGGGCUGCUGUCUCAGUGGAGCGAAGCUGUUGGUCGUUUUCCCAGGAGUUCAGGUGCCACAUGCUUCUCGUGCGACUUCUAGUUCAAAGGCUCCGCCAAAUGGCUGUGGGGAAAACUCUCUCUGACGCUACCAGCCUGUGCGGGAACGAAAUCAGCUCUGGAGCCUUCAUUAGACCUGAGCUCUCCCCGGAUGAUACAGGGUGGAACCAAUGGUAUGAAGUCAGCUCUUCCAAUAAGGAGACUUACAGGCGUUUCAAAGCCCAGGCCCUGGUGUACUUGCUAGCAUUUUAAUAACCUAAACUGUGACCUUCAGCAUUCUUAUUAUACAUUGAUUGAUUACAGUAAACAGGGAAAAUGUAUUAAUAAAGUCUAUUGGACACUACUGGGG